RNAcentral lists this ribosomal RNA (790 nucleotides) under uncultured Pelagibacteraceae bacterium. RNAcentral describes it as "bacterial SSU rRNA". It matches the Rfam family "Bacterial small subunit ribosomal RNA", at positions 46 to 884 of the family's 1533-position model. Lineage: Bacteria; Pseudomonadati; Pseudomonadota; Alphaproteobacteria; Candidatus Pelagibacterales; Candidatus Pelagibacteraceae. The record is from RNAcentral.
GCCUAACACAUGCAAGUCGAACGAAGUAGCAAUACUUAGUGGCAGACGGGUGAGUAACAUGUAGGUAUCUACCCUAUGGCCUGGAAUAACACGAGGAAACUUGUGCUAAUACCGGAUAAGUCUUUACGGAGAAAGCUUUAUGCACCAUUGGAUGAGCCUGCACUUGAUUAGUUUGUUGGUGGGGUAAUGGCCUACCAAGACUGUGAUCAAUAGCUGAUUUGAGAGGAUGAUCAGCCACAUUGGGACUGAGACACGGCCCAAACUCCUACGGGAGGCAGCAGUGGGGAAUCUUGCACAAUGGAGGAAACUCUGAUGCAGCGAUGCCGCGUGAGUGAAGAAGGCCUUUGGGUUGUAAAGCUCUUUCGUCGGGGAAGAAAAUGACUGUACCCGAAUAAGAAGGUCCGGCUAACUUCGUGCCAGCAGCCGCGGUAAUACGAAGGGACCUAGCGUAGUUCGGAAUUACUGGGCUUAAAGAGUUCGUAGGUGGUUGAAAAAGUUGGUGGUGAAAUCCCAGAGCUUAACUCUGGAACUGCCAUCAAAACUUUUCAGCUAGAGUAUGAUAGAGGAAAGCAGAAUUUCUAGUGUAGAGGUGAAAUUCGUAGAUAUUAGAAAGAAUACCAAUUGCGAAGGCAGCUUUCUGGAUCAUUACUGACACUGAGGAACGAAAGCAUGGGUAGCGAAGAGGAUUAGAUACCCUCGUAGUCCAUGCCGUAAACGAUGUGUGUUAGACGUUGGAAAUUUAUUUUCAGUGUCGCAGUGAAAGCGAUAAACACACCGCCUGGGGAGUACG